UGGUAAGAAACAUACUUUCAUUACUGAUACUGCCAAGACGUGUAAAUAUUUGCUGGACCUCUGCUCUGACCAGCACAGAUUUAAUGCGCAGAUGAGCUCUGGGCAUUUUUCCCAGGUUUUAUCAGAGGAUAAUCAGUUCAUGCAAAUGUUCAUAUCAGAUUCUGCAAAUGUGCCCCAACGUGAGUGUCUCCCUCUGAUUCAGAGAUCGUCCUGCUCGGAAAAUAUGUUGCUUGGAUCUCAUCUGGAAAACACAUCUGGAAAGCUGCUGGGCAAACCAUGUGAUAAUUCCAAUGUGGAAAAUGGUCAUAGGCUUGGAGAUGAAGGCAAACAAGACAGCCCUUCUUUUGGAUGGUCACAGUCAGAGACAUGUUCUUAUAUAACUGAAAACCAAAG
RNAcentral lists this long non-coding RNA (393 nucleotides) under Vombatus ursinus (common wombat). RNAcentral describes it as "lncRNA (ENSVURG00010015979.1)". Lineage: Eukaryota; Metazoa; Chordata; Mammalia; Diprotodontia; Vombatidae. The record is from RNAcentral.